CGCGGGCGGCAUGCCUUACACAUGCAAGUCGAACGGCAGCACGGAGCUUGCUCUGGUGGCGAGUGGCGAACGGGUGAGUAAUAUAUCGGAACGUACCCUAGAGUGGGGGAUAACGUAGCGAAAGUUACGCUAAUACCGCAUACGAUCUAAGGAUGAAAGUGGGGGAUCGCAAGACCUCAUGCUCGUGGAGCGGCCGAUAUCUGAUUAGCUAGUUGGUAGGGUAAAAGCCUACCAAGGCAUCGAUCAGUAGCUGGUCUGAGAGGACGACCAGCCACACUGGAACUGAGACACGGUCCAGACUCCUACGGGAGGCAGCAGUGGGGAAUUUUGGACAAUGGGCGAAAGCCUGAUCCAGCAAUGCCGCGUGAGUGAAGAAGGCCUUCGGGUUGUAAAGCUCUUUUGUCAGGGAAGAAACGGUGAAAGCUAAUAUCUUUUGCUAAUGACGGUACCUGAAGAAUAAGCACCGGCUAACUACGUGCCAGCAGCCGCGGUAAUACGUAGGGUGCAAGCGUUAAUCGGAAUUACUGGGCGUAAAGCGUGCGCAGGCGGUUUUGUAAGUCUGAUGUGAAAUCCCCGGGCUCCACCUGGGAAAUGCUUUGGAGACUGCAAGGCUAGAAUCUGGCAGAAGGGGGUAGAAUUCCACGUGUAGCAGUGAAAUUGCGUAAUAUGUGGAGGGAACACCGAUGGGGAAGGCAGCCCCCCUGGGUCAAGAUUGACGCUCAUGCACGAAAGCGUGGGGAGCAAACAGGAUUAGAUCCCUUGGUAGUCCACGCCCUAAACGAUGUCUACUAGUUGUCGGGUCUUAAUUGACUUGGUAACGCAGCUAACGCGUGAAGUAGACCGCCUGGGGAGUACGGUCGCAAGAUUAAAACUCAAAGGAAUUGACGGGGACCCGCACAAGCGGUGGAUGAUGUGGAUUAAUUCGAUGCAACGCGAAAAACCUUACCUACCCUCGACAUGGCUGGAAUCCUUGAGAGAUCAGGGAGUGCUCGAAAGAGAACCAGUACACAGGUGCUGCAUGGCUGUCGUCAGCUCGUGUCGUGAGAUGUUGGGUUAAGUCCCGCAACGAGCGCAACCCUUGUCAUUAGUUGCUACGAAAGGGCACUCUAAUGAGACUGCCGGUGACAAACCGGAGGAAGGUGGGGAUGACGUCAAGUCCUCAUGGCCCUUAUGGGUAGGGCUUCACACGUCAUACAAUGGUACAUACAGAGCGCCGCCAACCCGCGAGGGGGAGCUAAUCGCAGAAAGUGUAUCGUAGUCCGGAUUGUAGUCUGCAACUCGACUGCAUGAAGUUGGAAUCGCUAGUAAUCGCGGAUAAACAUGUCGCGGUGNNUNCGUUCCCGGGUCU
This 1348-nucleotide ribosomal RNA is filed under the name uncultured bacterium. RNAcentral's name for it is "bacterial SSU rRNA". It matches the Rfam family "Bacterial small subunit ribosomal RNA", at positions 34 to 1381 of the family's 1533-position model. The record is from RNAcentral.